UCCGGGAUGGUCCAAUUGGCAGGGCGGCGGGCUCUGACCCCGCAGACGCAGGUUCGAACCCUGCUCCCGGAU
This 72-nucleotide transfer RNA is filed under the name Archangium gephyra. RNAcentral describes it as "tRNA-Gln". It matches the Rfam family "tRNA". From Rfam's summary of the family: Transfer RNA (tRNA) molecules are approximately 80 nucleotides in length. Their secondary structure includes four short double-helical elements and three loops (D, anti-codon, and T loops). RNAcentral also lists the same sequence under 1 other name. Lineage: Bacteria; Pseudomonadati; Myxococcota; Myxococcia; Myxococcales; Archangiaceae. The record is from RNAcentral.